CAAAGCAGCCCUGGGACAAACACCAGCUUUCCCUUUCUUAGCCUUUUCUAACGAGUUCUUUAACAGGUGGUUCCUGGCAAAGAGUGCAGCUUGCACAUGAAGUUCACCCAAGGACGCAGUUUCCUCAGGUGUGGCUGCAGUUCCAAGGUGACUGUUUCACAUUUGACCAGCAGGAAAUGGAGGAGAAGGGCUCAAAGUGUUUUCGAACCAC
Molecule: long non-coding RNA, 211 nt
Filed under: Phocoena sinus (vaquita)
Lineage: Eukaryota; Metazoa; Chordata; Mammalia; Artiodactyla; Phocoenidae
Description: lncRNA (ENSPSNG00000004453.1)
Source: RNAcentral